UAGUCUGGGAUACCACUUGGAAACAGGUGCUAAUACCGGAUAAGAAAGCGGAUCGCAUGAUCAGCUUUUAAAAGGCGGCGUAAGCUGUCGCUAUGGGAUGGCCCCGCGGUGCAUUAGCUAGUUGGUAAGGUAAAGGCUCACCAAGGCGAUGAUGCAUAGCCGAGUUGAGAGACUGAUCGGCCACAUUGGGACUGAGACACGGCCCAAACUCCUACGGGAGGCAGCAGCC
Molecule: ribosomal RNA, 229 nt
Filed under: uncultured Lactobacillus sp.
Lineage: Bacteria; Bacillati; Bacillota; Bacilli; Lactobacillales; Lactobacillaceae
Description: partial 16S ribosomal RNA
Rfam family: Bacterial small subunit ribosomal RNA
Source: RNAcentral